This 286-nucleotide ribosomal RNA is filed under the name Vibrio sp. 03_296. RNAcentral describes it as "partial 23S ribosomal RNA". It matches the Rfam family "Bacterial large subunit ribosomal RNA", at positions 1 to 281 of the family's 2925-position model. The record is from RNAcentral. Lineage: Bacteria; Pseudomonadati; Pseudomonadota; Gammaproteobacteria; Vibrionales; Vibrionaceae.
GUUGUAUGGUUAAGUGACUAAGCGUACACGGUGGCAUGCCUUGGCAGUCAGAGGCGAUGAAGGACGUAGUAACUUGCGAUAAGCGUAGAUGAGGCAGUAACAGCCACUUGAGUCUACGAUUUCCGAAUGGGGAAACCCACUGGCAUAAGCCAGUAUCAUUGAGUGAAUACAUAGCUCAAUGAAGCGAACCGGGAGAACUGAAACAUCUAAGUACCCCGAGGAAAAGAAAUCAACCGAGAUUCCGAAAGUAGCGGCGAGCGAAAUUGGAUUAGCCCUUAAGCUUUAC